Long non-coding RNA from Anopheles aquasalis, 443 nucleotides. RefSeq lists it as uncharacterized. Lineage: Eukaryota; Metazoa; Arthropoda; Insecta; Diptera; Culicidae. The record is from RefSeq and is a predicted model, not a curated record.
GUAGCAGCAGUAGCAGCAGGUGGUAGGUAUGGACGAGUUUAGUGCCCAUCGGAAGGCAAAACAAACCUCGUGUCUCGUCUCAACAGGGAGCACACACGAGAGAAACUGUAUAGAGGGUGAACUUUUCCGUGCUUUUCUUCGGGCAACUCGCGGAAGCGCCGGAGAACUCUCGCGUCGCGUCGACUCAUAAGCCACUGACAUGCAAGUUAUGUUGGCCACUGGGCCCACGUGAGCAGCAGACACAUCCUCCUUCACAAGGAUGCCGCUCCCCCCUGCCAACAAUGCAAUCACCCCACCCGCUCUCCAAAUAAACCUAGUGGUUAGUGGCUGCUGACGCCGCCGCCAUUGGAAUAGGGCCAUUGGAUUGUGAUUCUAUUUUCAAUCAACCCAAAAACCAUCGGCCGAACAGCAGCAGCAGUGCGAUGAUGAUGAUGCUGAUCCCA